Long non-coding RNA from Nicotiana tabacum (common tobacco), 952 nucleotides. RefSeq lists it as uncharacterized. Lineage: Eukaryota; Viridiplantae; Streptophyta; Magnoliopsida; Solanales; Solanaceae. The record is from RefSeq and is a predicted model, not a curated record.
UCUGUCAAGAGCACAAACGACGCUCACUGUUCCUCCAUCGUUCUCACUCGAACCAAGCCCCAAAUUCAAUCCAAAUUUGGGCGAGUGAAUCCCAAAUCCUUAACCCACGCGUCCCUCCUUCUCUCAUCUUACUGUUGCUAAUGGUUUCUGACGCAAGAUUCCCCUCCCCUCUCACUUUCUCGAAUUCGAGUUGUAUCAUACGAUUGGAAGGUUCUGAAGAUGAGAUGCUGGAUGAGUGUGAGGCGUUGGAUUGAUUUCACUCAAUCCGAGCCCCAUAUUCAUCAAGGAUUCUUCAAAAGAAGCCUGAUCCGAUUUUGUGAAAGGGGGACUCUGGUAAAAAUAAUUCGAAAAGAAAAAGGCGGAAAGGCUUCUUGAACGGAUGGUUUUCGGAGUCUAUUUUCUUCUUUGAAAAAUUCUUUCAAAGUUUAAGAGAAACAUAUAUACAAUUUCUUUUACUUUUCUGAAUCGGGAUUUGAGGUCCAAGGAGAUAACAAUUGAAGUUCAAGCUUGGUUUUCUACUGUCAUCCUGCUGACUCGCUAGUGAACCUCGCUAGGAUUUGGAGUCGAGAAGUGUAUUGUCGAGUCCAUAAUUGUUAUAAAAGAGAUUUGCAACUUCAGCGUGUGCAGGCAACAACUUUUCUAGCUGGAGAAUUGACUUCGUAUAGUUACCUCGGGAGCUGGUAACGACCUGUUUCCUUAGUUGUUCCUUCAACUCUUGAAGAGUUGAACCAUAUCCCAAGCUGGAACCUUUUGAUAUUAAGGUCUUGCGAAUGUGUAAUAAGUUCCUUAUCUGGUUAUUGAUAGUAAAUUUGUUAGAUCAUCAAAAUAUAAAACAAGGUACUUGUAACCUAUUAGUUUGGUUAAAAAAAAAAAAAAAAACUUGAAAGGCAAAUUGUUCGAUGUUGUUGAGCUAGACUGUUGAAGAAGACAAAGUCGUCUAUUGAUUUUUGAA